Molecule: ribosomal RNA, 207 nt
Filed under: uncultured delta proteobacterium
Lineage: Bacteria; Deltaproteobacteria
Description: partial 16S ribosomal RNA
Rfam family: Bacterial small subunit ribosomal RNA
Source: RNAcentral
CGUGUAGGCGGUUUGAUUAGUCUGAUGUGAAAGCCCUGGGCUCAACCCAGGAAGUGCAUUGGAUACUGUCAGACUUGAAUACGGGAGAGGGUAGUGGAAUUCCUAGUGUAGGAGUGAAAUCCGUAGAUAUUAGGAGGAACACCGGUGGCGAAGGCGGCUGCCUGGACCGAUAUUGACGCUGAGACGCGAAAGCGUGGGUAGCAAACA